CUGGCUCAGGAUGAACGCUGGCGGCGUGCCUAACACAUGCAAGUCGAACGGGACUAUCAAGUGAUGUUUCGGACUGAACUUUUAGUUAGUGGCGGACGGGUGAGUAACGCGUGGACAACCUGCCUCUCACUGGGGGGAUAGCAGCUGGAAACGGCUGGUAAUACCGCAUGCGUUCAAUGUGCCGCAUGACACAUUGAAGAAAGGUUUAUCGGUGAGAGAUGGGUCCGCGUCUGAUUAGCCAGUUGGCGGGUAACGGCCACCAAAGCGACGAUCAGUAGCCGGCCUGAGAGGGCGGACGGCCACAUUGGGACUGAGACACGGCCCAGACUCCUACGGGAGGCAGCAGUGGGGGAUAUUGCACAAUGGGCGCAAGCCUGAUGCAGCGAACCGCCGCGUGAGUGAAGAAGUAUUUCGGUAUGUAAAGCUCUAUCAGCAGGGAAGAAAGGCCCGCAAGGGAGAUGACGGUACCUGACUAAGAAGCCCCGGCUAACUACGUGCCAGCCGCGGC
This 508-nucleotide ribosomal RNA is filed under the name uncultured bacterium. Its description in RNAcentral is "bacterial SSU rRNA". It matches the Rfam family "Bacterial small subunit ribosomal RNA", at positions 19 to 518 of the family's 1533-position model. The record is from RNAcentral.